UGGGGAAUUUUGGACAAUGGGGGCAACCCUGAUCCAGCCAUGCCGCGCGAGUGAAGAAGGCCUUCGGGUUGUAAAGCUCUUUCGGCCGGGAAGAAAUCGCAUGGGUUAAUACCCUGUGUGGAUGACGGUACCGGAAUAAGAAGCACCGGCUAACUACGUGCCAGCAGCCGCGGUAAUACGUAGGGUGCGAGCGUUAAUCGGAAUUACUGGGCGUAAAGCGUGCGCAGGCGGUUUAGUAAGACAGGCGUGAAAUCCCCGGGCUCAACCUGGGAACUGCGCUUGUGACUGCUAAGCUAGAGUACGGCAGAGGGGGGUGGAAUUCCACGUGUAGCAGUGAAAUGCGUAGAGAUGUGGAGGAACACCGAUGGCGAAGGCAGCCCCCUGGGCCGAUACUGACGCUCAUACACGAAAGCGUGGGUAGCAAACA
This 427-nucleotide ribosomal RNA is filed under the name uncultured bacterium. Its description in RNAcentral is "bacterial SSU rRNA". It matches the Rfam family "Bacterial small subunit ribosomal RNA", at positions 355 to 774 of the family's 1533-position model. The record is from RNAcentral.